RNAcentral lists this ribosomal RNA (253 nucleotides) under uncultured bacterium. RNAcentral's name for it is "partial 16S ribosomal RNA". It matches the Rfam family "Bacterial small subunit ribosomal RNA", at positions 524 to 776 of the family's 1533-position model. The record is from RNAcentral.
UACGUAGGGUGCGAGCGUUGUCCGAAAUUAUUGGGCGUAAAGGGCUCGUAGGCGGUUUGUCGCGUCGGGAGUGAAAUCCACUGGCUUAACUGGUGGCUUGCGGUCGAUACGGGCAGGCUCGAGUUCGGUAGAGGAGCGUGGAAUUCCCAGUGUAGAGGUGAAAUUCGUAGAUAUUGGGAAGAACACCGGUGGCGAAGGCGGCGCUCUGGACCGAGACUGACGCUGAGGCGCGAAAGCGUGGGGAGCAAACAGG